RNAcentral lists this unclassified non-coding RNA (167 nucleotides) under uncultured Nectriaceae. RNAcentral's name for it is "sequence contains ITS2". Lineage: Eukaryota; Fungi; Ascomycota; Sordariomycetes; Hypocreales; Nectriaceae. The record is from RNAcentral.
CAACCCUCAGGCCCCCGGGCCUGGUGUUGGGGAUCGGCGGAGCCCCCCGGGGCACACGCCGUCCCCUAAAUUCAGUGGCGGUCUCGCUGCAGCCUCCAUUGCGUAGUAGCUAACACCUCGCAACUGGAAGGCGGCGCGGCCACGCCGUAAAACCCCCAACUUCUGAA